Molecule: ribosomal RNA, 253 nt
Filed under: uncultured bacterium
Lineage: Bacteria
Description: partial 16S ribosomal RNA
Rfam family: Bacterial small subunit ribosomal RNA
Source: RNAcentral
UACGUAGGGACCGAGCGUUGUCCGGAAUCAUUGGGCGUAAAGAGCGUGUAGGCGGCCACUUAAGUCUUGCGUGAAAUCUUGCGGCUCAACCGCAAGCGGUCGUGGGAAACUGGGUGGCUAGAGUGCGGGAGAGGAGAGUGGAAUUCCUGGUGUAGCGGUGGAAUGCGCAGAUAUCAGGAGGAACACCGGUGGCGAAGGCGGGUCUCUGGGCCAAAACUGACGCUGAGGAGCGAAAGCGUGGGGAGCGAACAGG